RNAcentral lists this long non-coding RNA (1106 nucleotides) under Apteryx rowi (Okarito brown kiwi). Its description in RNAcentral is "lncRNA (ENSARWG00000009484.1)". Lineage: Eukaryota; Metazoa; Chordata; Aves; Apterygiformes; Apterygidae. The record is from RNAcentral.
AGAACAGACCUCUUGAGUCGCCUGCAAAAACAGUCACAAUGAUAACAUUAGGAAGCUAUUCUGUACUGAAUCAGCAUGGGAUAGAGUGCCUAGAAGACGUUCAGACCAAGCACAGCUAGCGCGUCCCUGCUGGUUCUCCAUUCUGCAUCCGUGCAGCCACGUUCUAUUGAUGGCCUGUUGUGAUUUCAAUGGAACAUCAUGGGAUGUACCUGGCACGUCGGGCAGCACUGGAUGGAGGUGCCUUUAGCCCAAUGUACCUGGCAUGGAGCUGGUAGCAGUUGAGCAUGUGUUGCCCACGUACUUAAUGUCCAAACGUUGCCGCACAAAGGUACCAAACAGGUGCUUGUGUCCAUAAGCAAAGCUAUACUGUUUCUGCGGGAGUCCUGCAAGAGUUGCUUCAGGGAGCAGGGAGGGCAGUUCUGCCUGGCACUAAUUGGAAUGUAACAAACUAAAUAAGGGCCACUUGUAAGUUUGCUGAUGUGAUAUCCUCCGUGAAACGAUCCUCCAUUCUCCUUCACACCUGCAACAUCAGCUGCACAUCCCGUUCUGCCCUGCAUGCCGCUUUCUCUCCCUUCCCCUACUCUGCACUCACUAACUUGACAUGUUGGUCUUACCUGUUUUGAAGUAUGAGAUAUUCCGGUGCGAAAAACAAGGGUGCUGCAUCCUGUUUUCUGCUUGAGCCCCCCCCUGCACAGCUUUUGCUGCUCCACUGCCAAUGAUGAAAAAGUGCAUGUUCUUGCCUCUGCUUUCAAGUUCUGCUGUCUGCCUGCUUACAGGAGCUGGGGAUAGGGAACCAUUUGGGCUAACACAAUUUGUGCAUUCCUAGGCCUGCCUCUGCUGCUCUUGAGUGUGAAAUACGUUUACAAGGCAUGGGCUAAUGACCUGCCAACUGCAGCUCCUGGGGGGAAGGUUAGUGGCCAUGAAAGCCCAGCUCACUGAUACCUCAGGAGAAUGAUGGAAGUAGGUUCUGCGGGGAUGUGGGGAGAGGAAGGUCAGAUGAGCCAGUGAGCAAUAGGAAAGCUCUCUUCCCAUUGGGGUCUUCAAGUGCUCUAUAAAAGUUAGAUCAUCUGAAACUGAAAGGUGAAGAAGUGAUCUGUUUGUUUCAC